RNAcentral lists this ribosomal RNA (382 nucleotides) under uncultured eukaryote. RNAcentral describes it as "partial 18S ribosomal RNA". It matches the Rfam family "Eukaryotic small subunit ribosomal RNA", at positions 592 to 976 of the family's 1831-position model. The record is from RNAcentral.
CAAUAGCGUAUAUUAAAGUUGUUGCAGUUAAAAAGCUCGUAGUUGGAUUUCUGGUUGAAGCGACCGGUCGGGCGUUGAUUCGUCUGCGCUGGAGUCGGUUUUGGCCAUCCUCUAGGAAAGUGCGUCUGGUAUUAAGUUAUCGGGCGUAUGAUCCUGGUCUUUUACUGUGAAAAAAUUAGAGUGUUUAAAGCAGGCCUUCGCCUUGAAUACAUUAGCAUGGAAUAAUAAGAUAGGACUUUGGUCUAUUUUGUUGGUUUGCAGACCGAAGUAAUGAUUAAUAGGGAUAGUUGGGGGUAUUUAUAUUCCGAUGUCAGAGGUGAAAUUCUUAGAUUUUCGGAAGAUAAACUUAUGCGAAAGCAUUUACCAAGGAUGUUUUCAUUAA